UUAUUCUUCUUUGUUGUAUACUAUGUCUGUAAUGGAUUCUUCCGUGUGUACGCGGCAAGUGUAUUCUCCAGUAAAGUGUGUAGGGUGGAACAGUGUCUUACAGAGGUCGACUCACAUGAUCAGCAGAGGGCCAACAACCCCCAUGACCACCUUCAAAGAGACAGCCCUCACUAAGAGUUAAAUACCUGGGACUCUAAAUCAGUUCUUUGUAUCUAAAGAGUUCCUUUGGAUGAGCGAUCCCUUCACAGUGUGCCGGCCUGUCCCACUGUCAUCCCGCUGAAGGAAACUCACCUGUCUCAAAACUUGUGGAAGCUGGAAUCAGACCAGACCCUGAACUAAAUCCUUUGAACAUUAUGUCAAUUUAAUCUCUGAUCUGAUUGCAAAUACUAAGCAGUUGUAAUGAGUCGCUUAUUAAAAAUGAGGUACUUUUCCUAGCAGCCUCCCGCCAUUCGGUCUUUUGACAUGAACCAUAACAUCGGCUUCAACGAUCUGGCGGACGAUGUCACAGUCGCCAUGCCCAUCUUUUCUUUUCAGUCUGUGGGAUGGACUAUAAUACUGGAGCGAUGUGGUUAAAAACUUAAAUUAAUGGGAGAUUGGUGGCAUUUGUUCAACAGUCUUUGUUGCUUCUAACUCUGAAAACUAUACAUCUAACGAUCCAGCACGAGGAUGAAAUAAAAUAUGAAAUAAUUUUCCAGAGAUUCGAUGAUUUAAAAAACAAAACAACCCAAAACAAUAACAAGUUUUAGCCAUUAAGUGUAAAAUCAGGGCAGAACUUAGUUAAAUUAUCUGAAGAUGAAAACAACAUGAAUGUUUUCAGUGUCACAGCAGGAGAUCAAACAUCAAGCGAUCUCCUGCUGUGACGCUGAAGAGAGCACACAAUAGCGCAUCGAUAAAUAUGUGAUUCAU
Long non-coding RNA from Oreochromis niloticus (Nile tilapia), 906 nucleotides. RefSeq lists it as uncharacterized. NCBI's taxonomy places the organism in Eukaryota, Metazoa, Chordata, Actinopteri, Cichliformes, Cichlidae. The record is from RefSeq and is a predicted model, not a curated record. The transcript is spliced from 3 exons.